AAGUCGUAACAAGGUUUCCGUAGGUGAACCUGCGGAAGGAUCAUUACCUUUCGAUGCAGAAGAGUUGAGAUGGUUGAGUAUCUCGCCUCUCAAUUCUCGCUGUAUUUUACCCUUGUUUUUCUCAUACUAUUAUUUCCUCGGCAGGCUCGCCUGCCGGGUGAAACAACUUCAAACCUGUUUAAUUUUCAAUCAGCGUCUGAACAAAUUAAUAAUUACAA
Molecule: unclassified non-coding RNA, 218 nt
Filed under: plant metagenome
Description: partial contains small subunit ribosomal RNA and internal transcribed spacer 1
Rfam family: Eukaryotic small subunit ribosomal RNA (bases 1-46)
Source: RNAcentral